AUUUAUAGUAUUAAUAGUAUUUAACGGCUCUGAGCAAGUUGUAUGCUGUCCGCCAUUUUCUCCACGGUCGAGCAGCUGUAGCGACAACAAUGUCUGUCCCGGUUUCACAGAUGAGGACAGGUAGGAGAAGAACAUUUGCACAAACUGGCGGUUAGACCUGCUGACCUUGAACAGAUGCCAGGCUGGAUCUAAAAUUGCGUAUCAAUUGUGCGAGUUGUCUCUUACCGUACAAUAUUCUAAUGCUUUCAUCACUUCUACCAUGGACUUGUCCUUCGGCUAUUCAACAUCAGGAGUGGCGCCUUGAUAUGACUUUCCAUACAGGCUGCAAAUCAAUAUGCUUUUAUAUUCUUCAGGAGAGCAAUGACAUCAGUACACCCCCGUCUGCCUCAGACAAACCCUGUAAACAGUGCAUAAUACAGAUAACCCUGGACUUUAGUAACAAAACAAAAAUAAUAAAUUAUCACAGGAUCUUUGGAGUAAAGUGGACACACACACACACACACACACACACACAUCAUGCUACUGUAAAACUGUCAAACCAGACAAGGCUAGACUGGGACAGAUGCCAAACUAGGAGGGAGCACCUACUAUCACCUCUCAUAGUUCUCAGAAAUGAAUAGAUAAAUACCUUCAGGCAAAGCACUGGCAUCCUAUAGCCUACAAAUCUUUGGUAAUGCAGUCUGGAAACGGGCUAGUCAUUUUCUUGUACCGUUGCACUUUAAUAAAGCUUUUACUUCAGCAACAACAAUCACCUCAGAAUCGAUACUGUAUUGUUAUAUUUAGGAAAAAGUGAUUGAA
Molecule: long non-coding RNA, 798 nt
Organism: Ctenopharyngodon idella (grass carp)
Lineage: Eukaryota; Metazoa; Chordata; Actinopteri; Cypriniformes; Xenocyprididae
Exons: 3
Source: RefSeq, a predicted model, not a curated record